CUUUGUUCCCAUGUUCUGCAUGGUAUGAAGUGUAACAAGGGUGAGGGGUUUAGUGGGGGAGCAUAAUAUGCUUCCGGCACAUACCUAAUCUCCUCCAUGCUCUCCUGUCAUAUCUGGACAGAAUGCGUAGAGAUUUUACGGCUUUAGGGACACGGAAGCAAUGGAAAGUUACAGAUUAUUGCCAUCGGGGCUUGCAUUGUAUGCCUGAAAUCUCCUGCUGGUUUCCUGCGAGGUGACCGGACAGGGAUGACAGCACAUAGACCUUUUGGGAGGUCUGAAAUUGCUCGGACCCAACUAGCUAGAUCUGGACAUUCUUGGAAUAUGACUGUGCGGUGGUAACAUGGGAUGGGAGGACUGUUUGUUUAGUACCUUCAGUCUUGUGACUUUACCAUGUUUACAGUGCAGCUCUGCAAUUUUGCACAUAAAAGAGAGGGUGAACUCCCUCAUCUCAAUACUCCCAACAUUGAGGGCUUUUACUGUCUUUACAAACUGUUUGUUUGUCGAUGGCUUCUCCCAUCUCAACAAGCCUGUUUUCUAAGUCCAGGGGUGAUGCAUGCUUGGACAGAUGCAUGUCCAAGUGUGAGCCAGCUGCCAGGUUUCAGUGACCUCUGUCUGGUGUUAACAGAGCUUUGACAUGGCCAUGGAAAUGGUCGUUCAUGGGUGGAUGAGUGACAGCAGUGGUUUUCAGCUCACAGCGGUGGUCAGAGCUGCCUGGAAUAGCACACCCAUGUGAUCAACAGUCUAUUUGUAGGUGUGUGUACAGAGCGGGCUGCACUUACACGGGUGUCUCAAGAGAAGAGUGCAGUGAGGGGUCUGCUCUCUCGCUCUGUCGCACGCUCGUUGUCUAUGCCGGUGAAGUUUCACAGGUACUUUCAUUAUUCUGUUAGGCCUGUCUCUGAGCUCGGACCUCCAACGCGUCCAAGAGAAGUACCAUGGUUUUGAAGAAGCUGGCAGUCCUGGGGAAGCAGCUCCUGCGAGUGAAGGUGGUGGACUGCAGCAAUGAAGACACGCGCCUCUCACGCUGCCUCAACACCUUCGACCUGGUGGCGCUGGGCGUGGGCAGCACUCUGGGAGCAGGGGUCUACGUGCUGGCAGGCGCUGUGGCACGGGACAACGCCGGUCCUGCCAUCGUCAUCUCUUUCCUCGUUGCUGCGGCAGCGUCCGUGCUGGCUGGCCUGUGCUAUGCAGAGUUUGGCGCCCGUGUACCCAAGACUGGCUCUGCAUAUUUGUACAGCUAUGUGACGGUGGGCGAACUCUGGGCCUUCAUCACAGGAUGGAACCUCAUCCUCUCCUACAUCAUUGGGACGUCCAGCGUGGCACGUGCCUGGAGUGCCACAUUUGACGAGCUCAUUGGGAAUCACAUUGAGCAGUUUUGUCGUACCUACCUGAGCAUGCACGUGCCAGGCGUCCUUGCAGAGUACCCUGAUAUGUUUGCUGUGCUCAUCAUCCUCACGCUGACAGGUUUGCUGGCCUUUGGGGUGAAGGAGUCUGCUAUGGUCAAUAAGGUGUUCACCUGCAUCAAUGUCCUGGUGCUGCUCUUCAUGGUGGUGUCGGGCUUGGUCAAGGGCACACUCAAGAACUGGAACCUGGACCCCAGCAACAUUCUCAAUACUACUAAUUCUUCUAUUUUAUUCAACACUAACUGUGAGAGCCUUGGAGUAGGAGGUUUUAUGCCCUUUGGCUUCACUGGAGUGCUGUCAGGUGCUGCUACCUGCUUCUAUGCCUUUGUGGGCUUCGACUGCAUUGCCACCACAGGGGAGGAGGUGAAAAACCCCCAGCGGGCCAUCCCCAUUGGCAUAGUUGCCUCACUCCUCAUCUGCUUUGUGGCCUACUUUGGCGUGUCAGCCGCCCUCACCAUGAUGAUGCCCUACUACCUGCUGGACAAGAUGAGCCCAUUGCCUGUGGCCUUCAAGUAUGUGGGCUGGGAGGGGGCCACCUAUGCAGUGGCAGUGGGUUCACUUUGCGCCCUGUCCACCAGUCUCCUGGGCUCCAUGUUCCCCCUUCCACGCAUUAUCUUUGCCAUGGCGCGCGACGGUCUGCUCUUCUCGUUUCUGGCACGGGUGAGCGAGAGGAAGACUCCCAUCGUCUCUACCAUGGCCGCAGGGUUCAUGUCUGCGGUGAUGGCCUUUCUGUUUGACCUCAAGGACCUGGUGGAUCUCAUGUCUAUUGGCACACUAUUGGCAUACACUCUGGUGGCAGCCUGUGUCCUGGUCCUCCGGUACCAGCCGGAGCAGCCCAUCCAGCUGUACCAGAUGGCCAACACACAAGAUGAGAUGGAACUCAGCGAGUCCAUCGGCACCCUCAGCAUGGGCAUUCUUCCAGGCAUGGAAGAGCGCCUCAGCUUGAAGAACGUGUUCUUUCCUGAAAACCCAGAACCCUCAAAACUGUCUAGCUUUGUUGUCAAUGUCAGCACCAGCAUACUAGGAUUCCUCAUUGUUGUAUUUAGUGUACUAGCAGUUCAAGGAGGGCUUGCACUUUGGAAUGUGAUACUCCUGAGUGUUCUGGUUGUAACCUGCCUGGGCCUCACGCUGGUCAUCUGGAGACAGCCAGAGAGCAGGACGAAGCUGUCUUUUAAGGUCCCCCUGCUGCCUUUCAUCCCAGUGAUCAGCAUGUUUGCCAACGUGUACCUUAUGAUGCAGCUUGACAGGGGUACCUGGAUCCGCUUUGCUGUAUGGAUGGCUAUAGGCCUGGUGAUCUACUUCACCUACGGGAUUUGGCACAGUACAGAAGCUAUUAUGGCCCGUUCCAGUGUUGAGGUCAACCUCAAUGGCUACAAGCCCGCCAGUACUACGGAGAAUCCUAUAGCCCCUGAGAAAGCGGCUUUUCUUGGUGUGGGGAGCGAAGAUGACGGGGAUCUCUAAGGAUCCUGGGGCACUGCCAGCUCCCUGAUUUCCCCCCAUCUAACUUUCUUGUAUUUUGAAAGCAAAUUGUGAUGCUUGAAUGACAUGUUUCAGUCAAAAAAGAGAUUACGGGCAAAUCAAAGGGAACCCAGGCUAACUGAGUUCGGACCGGCCCAAAUCAAAAAAAACACAAUAUUUCAUUUAUUUAUUUUUUGUUUUGUUUUAUGUGGAGAGCAUUUUGCAGUUGCAAAUAAGCUGUCUGUUUUGUUGUUAAUUUUAGAAUGGCAAAUGGAUUACAGCACUCUAGUAUGCAUUAAUAUACAGGUGGUCCUUGACGUACGAUGGGGUUACGUUCCAUGAAACCCAUCAUAAGUCAAAAAUAUUGUAAGUCGAAAAUGCAUUUAAUACACCUGACCUACCGAACAUCAUAGCCUAGCAUACAUGCGAUGGCCAUUACAGGCUUGCCACCUUUAUGCUGGGCACCCUCCUCCUCCUCUUCCCACCAGUAGCAGGAGACACAGAUAGGCAUUUCUGUGACAUUAUGGAUGCACAAAACACAACGUAUAUACCAGGGGGUAUCUGUAUAGCAACCAUGUGACAGACUGGGAGAUGCAGAUUGCUGCCGUUUUCCAGCAUUACAAGAGUAUCGCACUGCAUAUCACUUGCCUGGGGAAAAAGAAAAAAAAUCUAAAUUCAAAGUAUGGUUUCUACUGAACUUCUAUUGCCAGCUCACCAUCGUAAAGUCAAAAAAUCGUAAAUUGGACCAUUGUAAGUCAAGGAGCAUCUGUACGCAGACAUGCAGUUUCUGUUUCUUGGCUGUUAAUUAGGUCCAUUUGCCUUUCUAUUUUGGAAUUCAGUUGACAAAUGUUGCAUAAUUAUUUUAAAGGGCCUUUCUGUCCUCAACUGGCUCAAGAUUCAUCUUUGUGAUUAAAAGCUAUUUCUAGCAAUAGCUGGCUUUUUUUGGGUAGACAACAGUACGGGUUGUUGAAAUGCCUCAGUUCAGUUGGUGUUCUAUGCCAGUAGGGGACCCAAAAAAUAGCACAGAGUGAGCAAUGAUUGUAUUACAUCAAUAAUCAGGUACUGUGUGCCAACCCUGAGGAACCUCAAGUUCAUAACUACAAACAGCUCUUGGGCUGCUAUACUGUUAACUGUAUCAGGGAACGGCUCAUUUUUCACAAGAGACUUUUAUGCUUCAAAGUGCAAUUUUUUUUUAAAGACUACUGAAUGUGACACCUGUCAUUUCUCAUUGAAGAACCGACUGUACAACAUAACAGGUUACUUCAUUUGCAUUAUCUGAGGGCUGACCUGUAAUGUGAGAAUGCAGCUGUGAUGUACUAGUAAAUUAGUAAACCAGUUCUUUGUCUUUGAGUAUUGAAAUGUUAGUGAAAUACAGGCCGUGUGAAUGGAAAGGUUCCCAGCGAACAUUGUUGUAGUAUUUUCACUAUUGCACAGCACUAUGCAGUCUCCCACAUAGAAGUUUAACUCUGAUAGUAGCUAACAGGACAUUUUGUACUGGGAUUACAGUGCUGGUAAUUGUGUCUCAGCUGAAUCAAAUUAAUUUUAUGAUCUGCUAUCCCUUAAAACACAAAUAUGAAAUAUAUUUAAAAAGUUAUACUCUAGAUUUGGAUAUAGAAAAGAAUAGUCUAUUUUAUAAUAAAACCAUAAACUUUAUAUUCA
RNAcentral lists this long non-coding RNA (4517 nucleotides) under Scleropages formosus (Asian bonytongue). RNAcentral describes it as "lncRNA (ENSSFOG00015006719.2)". Lineage: Eukaryota; Metazoa; Chordata; Actinopteri; Osteoglossiformes; Osteoglossidae. The record is from RNAcentral.